This 269-nucleotide long non-coding RNA is filed under the name Coturnix japonica (Japanese quail). RNAcentral's name for it is "lncRNA (ENSCJPG00005020955.1)". Lineage: Eukaryota; Metazoa; Chordata; Aves; Galliformes; Phasianidae. The record is from RNAcentral.
AAGAGUUAUUGCCUGAGUAGGGGAGUGGUGUGAACAAUGUCUGAUGCUACUUGCUAUGGGUUUUUUUGUGUCUUUAUUUCAGUAAUUUUAUAUAUAUAAUAUAAUACAUGUGCAGAUCUCCUCACUUGUGUUGCUAGCUUCUAGCUGGCCUUACAUCUUUUCAUGAGUCUGUCCACAAGAGCAACAAGAAUUUUUCAGCUGCCUGUGUGCUAAUAGAACAGUGCUAUGAGAAUCACUUGUGGAAUUGAUGUCAGAAUUAGAUCAACCAG